UAGGGAAUCUUCCGCAAUGGACGCAAGUCUGACGGAGCAACGCCGCGUGAGUGAAGAAGGAUUUCGGAUCGUAAAGCUCUGUUGUUAAGGAAGAACGAGUGUGAGAAUGGAAAGUUCAUACUGUGACGGUACUUAACCAGAAAGGGACGGCUAACUACGUGCCAGCAGCCGCGGUAAUACGUAGGUCCCGAGCGUUGUCCGGAUUUAUUGGGCGUAAAGCGAGCGCAGGCGGUUAGAUAAGUCUGAAGUUAAAGGCAGUGGCUCAACCAUUGUAGGCUUUGGAAACUGUUUGACUUGAGUGCAGAAGGGGAGAGUGGAAUUCCAUGUGUAGCGGUGAAAUGCGUAGAUAUAUGGAGGAACACCGGUGGCGAAAGCCGCUCUCUGGUCUGUACCUGACGCUGAGGCUCGAAAGCGUGGGGAGCGAACAGG
This 429-nucleotide ribosomal RNA is filed under the name Bacteroidota bacterium. RNAcentral's name for it is "Bacteroidetes bacterium partial 16S ribosomal RNA". It matches the Rfam family "Bacterial small subunit ribosomal RNA", at positions 355 to 776 of the family's 1533-position model. The record is from RNAcentral. Lineage: Bacteria; Pseudomonadati; Bacteroidota.